UUGGCCCUGAAUCAAGGCUAGUGGCUUGUUGUAGCCUCUGGUUUCAAACAGGAGCCCAAAACAGGGUCUUCCUGUGGUCUGUUGGCUGUUUCAUAGUUUUGGACUGGAACAGUCAAUUCAGUUGGAAGCAACAACC
Small nucleolar RNA from Varanus komodoensis (Komodo dragon), 136 nucleotides. Lineage: Eukaryota; Metazoa; Chordata; Lepidosauria; Squamata; Varanidae. The record is from Ensembl.